Nicotiana tabacum (common tobacco) is the source of this 1590-nucleotide non-coding RNA. The record is from RefSeq and is a predicted model, not a curated record. Lineage: Eukaryota; Viridiplantae; Streptophyta; Magnoliopsida; Solanales; Solanaceae.
UUUGGGCCUGGGAGCGGUUCCUGCAGUUGCAGCCACCUCUACCACCCUUCGCUCCAGUUGCACCACCUUCCGUUUAUCCCUUUAGCUAGGAGGUGGGUUGAUAGGCGAGGAUAUGGAAGCGAGUACGAGGCUCGACAUCAUCUCCCCUAUUGCAGGGAUUUGUUGGAUUUGCUGGAGGGCGCGCAGUUCAUUUGGAGGCCAUAUAAUGAUGAGCUAAUAGCUUGUUUGCCCGAUUAUUGCUCGACCGGCCGAAUUAUGUGGAGCUCUUCCAUCCCGUUGACAUGUCUCGAUAUUGUCGAGCAUCAUGCCACCGAGCGAGUCCUUCGCCAGUUUGGUCGACCGCAACUUGUACCUCCACCGCCCGCUUGGCAUAGGACAUAUUACCAACGGGAUGAUCGUUCCAGGGUUGACUAGAUAUAUGUGGCAUGGCUAGAGGCACAGAUCGAUAUUUAGGACCAGCGGCAUGACCUGAUUCCGCCCCCUACACCUGACCGGACGGAUGGUGAGCAUGAGUAUAUGGGCUGGUACCGCAGCUUUACCUGACUUUUCAUCGGGAAUCCCGUUCAUCGCGUUGGCGGUCGGCUAUUGGCCUACAUCAUUUCUACUAGUUAGGACUGCAGAUGCAGCAGCAUACCAUCGAGGGAGCGGCCGCUUUGUACAAGUAUGGCCGACAGGUUACAGAUCUGGCUUCUCGUACAUUGAGGCGAGCCCGAGAUAAUGAACGCUUAGGAUACGAGGCUGAUUAUGUGGCGCCAGAGCAGUACCAUCGUGGACUAGCAGCGGAGCUGAAACAUGGUCGAUGUGGCAAGCGUGCCCAGAGAGGUAGGGGUGUCCCACGAGGUCGUGGGGAUCGGCGAUAAGAUGGUCCCCAACAAGGGGGCAUGAGGCACAUGUUGAGGAUGUUUGAGUUGAUCAGACGGGUGACCACCAUGAGCCAGACCAUGCUCCUAGUGUCAUUCAGCCUUCAGCUUACUUCAGGGACUUCGCAGGUGACUCCAUUAACUCCAUUAUUGAUCGCGGGCAUGACCAUUACGCGACAAGAGUAGGAUCAGUAUUUUUCUGGUCCUCCAGAGCCAUCAGCGGUUGCUGAUAAUAGUCCGAUACGAGAUGUGGAUAGUGGGCGCCAACUGAGUUAUGGCUUAUCAUCGAGGGAUGCUGAGGAUCUUUUACAGGCGCAAGUUUUUUUGUAUUACUAUUAUUUAUAUUUGUUUUUAUCUCAUUGAUUAGUCAUAAAUAUUUACAGCAGUUUUUUGAAGGCAUCAUCCUCGCCUGUCACGGAGGCUACUUUGUGCGAUACUGACAUGGCUAAGACGGAUGAUUAUAUUCAGGAGCCCGUCAAGACCUUGGUUACUAUUGGACCGACGACCCCUUAUACCGAGCUUACUAGUCUUACUGACGAUCAUGUUGCAACACAUCCUCCGAUAAAGAUGCGACGUGAUGAGGAUGAUCCUGAUAGCGUAGCCGGGCGGGAUGGGAUGCGCCUUAGGCCAACGGCUGCUUUAAAGCAUAUUGGAUAUGGGACACAUUGACUUUUUUGAUUUUUGGUACAUAUGACAUUCAGUAAAAUAAUAGCAACAUUAUUUAUGGUUA